GGCAGUUCCCCCGCUACACGUGGGGCCCAGGUGGCCGGGCCCCGCAGGGCCGCCGGGCCUGUGACAACCGUCAUGGUCACCCCCUGAUGGCGGCCCUGCUUUCAGUGUCAUUCCUUGCCUUACUAUGAAGUUGUGUGGGGGGGUCAAGGGUGUAUUGUGAAUUAUAGCAGUAUGAUGGUUUGGGUGAGAAGUGAAGGAAGUUGGAUGAGACAAAGUAGGGUGGGGUGAGAAGGGGUGUGCGGGGAGGUAUGGGAAGGUUGGGUGCUCUCUCUCAG
This is a non-coding RNA of Pelobates cultripes (western spadefoot toad), 275 nucleotides long. NCBI's taxonomy places the organism in Eukaryota, Metazoa, Chordata, Amphibia, Anura, Pelobatidae. The record is from the annotation of a GenBank genome assembly.